RNAcentral lists this ribosomal RNA (433 nucleotides) under uncultured bacterium. Its description in RNAcentral is "partial 16S ribosomal RNA". It matches the Rfam family "Bacterial small subunit ribosomal RNA", at positions 29 to 507 of the family's 1533-position model. The record is from RNAcentral.
AACGAACGCUGGCGGCAUGCCUAACACAUGCAAGUCGAACGAAGGCUUCGGCCUUAGUGGCGCACGGGUGCGUAACGCGUGGGAAUCUGCCCUUUGGUUCGGAAUAACAGCUGGAAACGGCUGCUAAUACCGGAUGAUGACGAAAGUCCAAAGAUUUAUCGCCAGAGGAUGAGCCCGCGUUGGAUUAGGUAGUUGGUGGGGUAAAGGCCUACCAAGACGACGAUCCAUAGCUGGUCUGAGAGGAUGAUCAGUCACACUGGGACUGAGACACGGCCCAGAAUGCUACGGGAGGGAGCAGUAGGGAAUACUGGACGAUGGGCGCAAGUCCAGUACAGCCACGCCGGGUGAGUGAUGAAGGGGCUAGUGUUGUAAAGCCGUUUUACCCGGGGAGAUAAUGACGGUACCGGGAGAAUAAGCCCCGGCUAACUCCGUG